Molecule: long non-coding RNA, 280 nt
Organism: Rosa chinensis
Lineage: Eukaryota; Viridiplantae; Streptophyta; Magnoliopsida; Rosales; Rosaceae
Exons: 3
Source: RefSeq, a predicted model, not a curated record
UGCUCAUUGGAUAUUGACUGUGAUCGAUCCGGACAAUGACACUGUCUAUUACAUGGAUCCGUUAAAAAGACGCCUUGGGGAUAACGGAGAAUGGAAAGAUAUUGUUGACACUGCCAUAUCAAUGUUUAGAGCAGACCGCAACAAGAAAGGACGAGGUUUUCCUCAAUGGAAGAACAUGGCAGGUAUUCCAUCACAGCCAAACGACAAACAGUGUGGGUAUUUUGUGAUGAGAUAUAUGAGGGACAUCAUACAUGAUACAAACUUGGGUUUUGCAGAAAAG